CCAGACUCCUACGGGAGGCAGCAGUGGGGAAUAUUGGACAAUGGGCGCAAGCCUGAUCCAGCCAUACCGCGUGGGUGAAGAAGGCCUUCGGGUUGUAAAGCCCUUUUGUUGGGAAAGAAAUCCAGCCGGCUAAUACCUGGUUGGGAUGACGGUACCCAAAGAAUAAGCACCGGCUAACUUCGUGCCAGCAGCCGCGGUAAUACGAAGGGUGCAAGCGUUACUCGGAAUUACUGGGCGUAGAGCGUGCGUAGGUGGUUAUUUAAGUCCGUUGUGAAAGCCCUGGGCUCAACCUGGGAACUGCAGUGGAUACUGGAUGACUAGAAUGUGGUAGAGGGUAGCGGAAUUCCUGGUGUAGCAGUGAAAUGCGUAGAGAUCAGGAGGAACAUCCAUGGCGAAGGCAGCUACCUGGACCAACAUUGACACUGAGGCACGAAAGCGUGGGGAGCAAACAGGAUUAGAUACCCUGGUAGUCCACGCCCUAAGCGAUGCGAACUGGAUGUUGGGUGCAAUUUGGCACACAGUAUCGAAGCUAACGCGUUAAGUUCGCCGCCUGGGGAGUACGGUCGCAAGACUGAAACUCAAAGGAAUUGACGGGGGCCCGCACCAG
Molecule: ribosomal RNA, 607 nt
Filed under: uncultured bacterium
Lineage: Bacteria
Description: bacterial SSU rRNA
Rfam family: Bacterial small subunit ribosomal RNA
Source: RNAcentral